RNAcentral lists this ribosomal RNA (652 nucleotides) under uncultured marine bacterium. Its description in RNAcentral is "bacterial SSU rRNA". It matches the Rfam family "Bacterial small subunit ribosomal RNA", at positions 8 to 638 of the family's 1533-position model. The record is from RNAcentral.
AGAGUUUGAUCCUGGCUCAGGAUGAACGCUGGCGGCGUGCCUAAUACAUGCAAGUCGAGCGAACUGAUUAGAAGCUUGCUUCUAUGACGUUAGCGGCGGACGGGUGAGUAACACGUGGGCAACCUGCCUGUAAGACUGGGAUAACUUCGGGAAACCGAAGCUAAUACCGGAUAGGAUCUUCUCCUUCAUGGGAGAUGAUUGAAAGAUGGUUUCGGCUAUCACUUACAGAUGGGCCCGCGGUGCAUUAGCUAGUUGGUGAGGUAACGGCUCACCAAGGCAACGAUGCAUAGCCGACCUGAGAGGGUGAUCGGCCACACUGGGACUGAGACACGGCCCAGACUCCUACGGGAGGCAGCAGUAGGGAAUCUUCCGCAAUGGACGAAAGUCUGACGGAGUAACGCCGCGUGAGUGAUGAAGGCUUUCGGGUCGUAAAACUCUGUUGUUAGGGAAGAACAAGUACGAGAGUAACUGCUCGUACCUUGACGGUACCUAACCAGAAAGCCACGGCUAACUACGUGCCAGCAGCCGCGGUAAUACGUAGGUGGCAAGCGUUAUCCGGAAUUAUUGGGCGUAAAGCGCGCGCAGGCGGUUUCUUAAGUCUGAUGUGAAAGCCCACGGGCUCAACCGUGGGAGGGUCAUUGGGAAACUGGGG